AUUGAACGCUGGCGGAAUGCUUUACACAUGCAAGUCGAGCGGCAGCGCGGGGCAACCUGGCGGCGAGCGGCGAACGGGUGAGUAAUGCAUCGGAACAUGUCCAUGGAUGGGGGAUAGCCCGGCGAAAGCCGGAUUAAUACCGCAUGAGCCCGAGAGGGGAAAGUGGGGGACCGCAAGGCCUCACGUCGAUGGGUUGGCCGAUGCCCGAUUAGCUAGUUGGUGAGGUAAUGGCUCACCAAGGCGAUGAUCGGUAGCUGGUCUGAGAGGAGGAUCAGCCACACUGGGACUGAGACACGGCCCAGACUCCUACGGGAGGCAGAAGUGGGGAAUUUUGGACAAGGGGGCAACCCUGAUCCAGCCAUUCCGCGUGAGUGAAGAAGGCCUUCGGGUUGUAAAGCUCUUUUGUCCGGAGCGAAACGGGGCGCGUGAAUAUCGCGCUCUACUGACGGUACCGGAAGAAUAAGCACCGGCUAACUACGUGCCAGCAGCCGCCGUAA
Molecule: ribosomal RNA, 497 nt
Filed under: uncultured bacterium
Lineage: Bacteria
Description: partial 16S ribosomal RNA
Rfam family: Bacterial small subunit ribosomal RNA
Source: RNAcentral